UUCUUCUGGAAGAGAACUGGGGCUCCAAAAGGAGCUUUUGAGCUACGGAUAAGCCCUCCUUUCAAUAGCUCAUCAAGUUGAUUUCGAAGUUCUGCAAGUUCCGAUGGGGCCAUUCGAUAGGACGGACGAGCUGGACAUUUUGCUCCAGGCUCUAAUUCAAUCUUAUGGUCCACCGCCCGCCUGGGCGGUAAAGUCUUAGGCAACUCGGGGGGCAUCACAUCCUCAAACUCCUGUAGGACUCUCAAGACCCCAGGAGGAAAGGGACCCAUGUCCUUUGGCUCCAUUUCCAGCUUCAAGGCAGCCACAUAUGUUAGUUCUCCCUUCUUUAUUCC
RNAcentral lists this long non-coding RNA (332 nucleotides) under Elaeis guineensis (African oil palm). RNAcentral describes it as "long non-coding RNA (EGUI_LNC019085)". Lineage: Eukaryota; Viridiplantae; Streptophyta; Magnoliopsida; Arecales; Arecaceae. The record is from RNAcentral.